UAGUUUAGGACUUUUCGGUUUAUGGUUUAAAAGACCCAAUUUUCGAUCACAUUUUGACAUCUCAUCCGUUCAGUUUUUAGGUUUAUAUGAGUAGAUCAUUUCUACAAAUUUUCAUCCAAAUUGGUGUAUUCUAACGAGGACUUUUAAGUUUAUGACUAGUUUAGGACUUUUCGGUUUAUGGUUUAAAAGACCUAAUUUUCGAUCACAUUUUGACAUCUCAUCCGUUCAGUUUUUAGGUUUAUAUGAGUAGAUCAUUUCUACAAAUUUUCAUCCAAAUUGGUGUUCGUUAAGAUAACAAACUAGAUCAAAUUAAUGGAUCGGAUGAACCAAAUCUGUCAAAUAUGAACCGUUCAAGUUUAUAAUUGAUAAAUCACACUUAUGAAUGCCUUAACAAUUUUCAAUAUAGCUGAAAAUUUGGAGAAAUGAUCUACUCAUAAAUACCUAUAAACUGAACGGUCAAGAUAUGUAUAUAAGAUUGAAAGGUGGGAUAAGCCGAAAAGUCAUCACCGAGUCCUCACUGAAUCCUCAACUUAAGGGUCCUUACUAGAAGGGUCCUGAUACACAUCUCCAUCAUAGAUAUGUUUUUUCACCCGAAGUACAUUUCUAUUUACUGCAUAUGUUAAUAUGUAAAUCAAGAUACGAUGAACUUAGAAACUUAAAAACUUUACAUGAUUUGUUAAUGUGCUAUUUUCUCACUAAUAAAAUCUAAAAUUGUUUUGUGUUUUCCAUCAACACAGUUUCCAUGUGGAUUCUCACAAGCAUUAUAUGCACAUUGUAGACAUAUAUUCAUUUGCAUACUUUUAUACCAGCUUAUAAUUUUCAUUCUGGAUUUGAUAGUUAGUGUAACAAUUUGAUCAUAAUGCUAUCUUAAAUUCGCUCGCAUUUGGGUGUCUUGCAAAUUUCUUUCAUUCUCAUAGCUUUACUAAGAUAUUGGAGAGAUCUAAAACGUUUAUUAACUUUAUUUGAAUCAAGACAAGUGAUACUUGGAUAUAA
Molecule: long non-coding RNA, 993 nt
Filed under: Fragaria vesca (wild strawberry)
Lineage: Eukaryota; Viridiplantae; Streptophyta; Magnoliopsida; Rosales; Rosaceae
Description: long non-coding RNA (FVES_LNC000793)
Source: RNAcentral